GUCAGACUGGGGUUGAGCGUGUCGAUGUCAUAACUGGCGUCUCCCUCCAACAGCAAGUCCUGCAUGUUCCUGGAGCUGAACUCAGCCUGUAGGGCGAUGCUGUAAACAGGUGGCAUCUUACCAGUCAUGGGGGAGUGCAAGCUUCCAGUGGCUGAUGGGACGCCAGCUGCAGGCAGCUGUCCACAUGGGGACCCACCUGGCUUCGCCAUGCUCCUGCGAACAGUGACAGGGUCCUUGCGACGCCACUUGUGCAACUCCUCCUGCAUUUUCUCCACCUUGGCUGGAUUGAGAGCCCAAAGACAGCCUUUACGGGACGAGUUCCCAUUUUUGUUCUCCACCUUCUCAAAGCACUUGUUCAGGGAGAGGUUGUGACGCACAGAGUUCUUCCAUCCAUCAGGAGCUGACUGACAACAGAGAGUGGUAGAUAAAUGCAGAUGGAAAAUAAAAGGUUUAAAGCAGCUGUUCUGUUCUCUCUCAGAGUGGUACAGGAAGAAAAGUACUGAGCACACUAUUAGAGCUGCAACAUCCUAUCCACUGUGCUACCAGGAUACUUCUUAUCAUUUUCUAUAUAAAAUGCCAGAAAAUUGUAAAAUAUUAUCUUCCAGUGACGUCUUCAGAUAGCUUGUUUUGUCUGACCAAUGAUAUAUGACAUUCUAUUACAUAAGCCAAAGACAAGCAGCAAAUGUUUACAAGAUGGUACCAGUGAAUGUUGACAAAUGACAAUGAAAUCAAAAGUAGUUGGCAAAUUAUUUUAUGUCAAUCGACUGAAUGAUUAAUCGACACAUUUUCAGCUCUGUUACGCACUGUGUUUAGUUCCUUUGGAAAGUGAUAAAUAGCCCAGGAUAAUUCAACAAGAGUCUACAGCCACACCAGCAGCUCUGUGAGUCUGUCCUUAGGCACAGCAGUGCCUUGAGCUAAAUGCUAACAUGCUGAUGUUAAGCAGUUAUGUAUUUACCAUGUUCACCAUCUUAGUUUAGCAUGUCAGCAUGCGGAUAUUUGCUAAUUAGCACAUAGCUCAAAGUACAGCUGAGGCUGAUAGAAAUGUCAUGAGUUUUGCAGGUAUGUAGUCAUAAACCAAAGAAUUGAACAAAUACACAUUUUGACCUGUUGAUGGCGCUUAAUGAAAUGUUAAGGGACCACCAAAGUUAUUACAAUUCAUCCUAAGGGGGACAUGAAUGUUUGUACAAAAUGUCAUGGCAAUCCAUCAAAGAGACAGUUUGAAGUUUAUUUUGUCACAUGCUCAACAUAUUUUUCCAUCGUACAAUGAAAUGCUUUCUUGCCGCGCUUCAAAUAAAAAUACAAUACCUGUCACCAUGUUAUGAUGUAUUUCUGAGUUUUAGGUGCAAUCGUUUCCCAAAAGACAAUGAGACUUUUACUGAAGUGCCCCCUGGAAUAUGUUCCCACAUUCAAGACCUCUUUGACAGAGAGAGCCUUCCUCUAUCCUCUAUCUCUCUGUCAUUCUGCCUCGCCCUCCAGGCCAGGGUUGUUCAAGGUAUAGCAACAGAGCAGCUGUUUGGAAAGCAGCCAUCUAUAAGGUCCCUUCUUGAAUAUAAAUGGCAGCAAGUCUUUGAGCUCUUUCCAGAGGAUGUUGGUGCCUCGCUGCUUGACCUGUGUGAAAGAGUGUCAGAGCUGCACACCUCCUGCAGACAGCUGAAGGAAGACGAGCACUGUUGGAGGCAACCCGCAGCCGUCACUGCUCCAUCGCUGAACUGUCGACGGUAUGG
Sander lucioperca (pikeperch) is the source of this 1724-nucleotide long non-coding RNA. RefSeq lists it as uncharacterized. Lineage: Eukaryota; Metazoa; Chordata; Actinopteri; Perciformes; Percidae. The transcript has 4 exons. The record is from RefSeq and is a predicted model, not a curated record.